Molecule: unclassified non-coding RNA, 654 nt
Filed under: Hevea brasiliensis (rubber tree)
Lineage: Eukaryota; Viridiplantae; Streptophyta; Magnoliopsida; Malpighiales; Euphorbiaceae
Source: RNAcentral
AAAAACCUUUUGUCUAUCUUCCUUCUAGCACUAACUCAAUUAUCCAAGUGCCAAUUUGAAAAGACCCAUUUAACCUUCUAACUUUGUCUGUUUUGCAGAUCACUUGCUAGUAUUCAACCCAUUUAACCUUCUAACUUUACCUAGUUAUAUCAGGUCCUGUGUUUUGGAUUCUGCUCUCUCUGUUCGAUAACACGACGAUUAAAACGACGGUUGCUUGGAAUUCAAUUUUGGCUGGCUGUUCUAAAAAGCGGGGGACAUCGAAUGAAGUCCGAGAACUAUUUGAUAAAAUUCCUGAGCCAGACACAAUAUUUUAUAACAGCAUUAGCUUGUUGCAUACAUAAUUCUGAGUUUCUGACAUGGAAAUGGCUCGAGCUUUUUUUGAUGGUAUACCCAAAAAAAUCAGCUUCCUGGAAUACAAUGAUUUCAGGUUUUGCCCAUAAUGGGCAAAUGGACAAAGCGCACGACUUGUUCUUGAUAAUCCCGAAUAAAAAUGUUGUUAGAUGAAAUGCAAUGAUUUCAGGAUACGUAGCAUAUGAUGAUUUGCAUUCAGCUGUAAAAUUAUAUCAAAUCGCACUAGUCAAGUGUGUGGUGACUUGGAUAACUGGAAACACGAGGCUUGGGGGGAUUGAGUUAGCAGAGAGAUUGUUUCAAGAA